This 460-nucleotide ribosomal RNA is filed under the name uncultured bacterium. RNAcentral's name for it is "SSU rRNA". It matches the Rfam family "Bacterial small subunit ribosomal RNA", at positions 26 to 518 of the family's 1533-position model. The record is from RNAcentral.
AGAAUCAACGCUGGCGGCGUGCCUAACACAUGCAAGUCGAACGAGAAAGGGGAGCAAUCCCUGAGUACAGUGGCGACCGGGUGAGUAACACGUGACUAACCUACCCUCGAGUGUGGAAUAACAUCGGGAAACCGAUGCUAAUACCGCAUAACAUCGCAAGAUCAAAAGGAGUAAUCCGCUUGAGGAGGGGGUCGCGGCUGAUUAGCUAGUUGGCGGGGUAAUGGCCCACCAAGGCGAAGAUCGGUAUCCGGCCUGAGAGGGCGCACGGACACACUGGAACUGAAACACGGUCCAGACUCCUACGGGAGGCAGCAGUGGGAAUUUUGCGCAAUGGGGGAAACCCUGACGCAGCAACGCCGCGUGGAGGAUGAAGCCCCUUGGGGCGUAAACUCCUUUCGACCAAGACGAUAAUGACGGUACUGGUGGAAGAAGCACCGGCUAACUCUGCGCCAGCAGCCGC